AAUCAACGCUGGCGGCGUGCCUAACACAUGCAAGUCGAACGCGAAUAUCCCGCAAGGGAUUAGUAGAGUGGCAAACGGGUGAGUAACACGUGGGUGACCUGCCUUCGAGUGGGGGAUAACGUCCCGAAAGGGACGCUAAUACCGCAUGACAUCCUGCCUUUGAACAGGUGGAGAUCAAAGCUGGGGAUCGCAAGACCUAGCGCUUGAAGAGGGGCCCGCGUCCGAUUAGCUAGUUGGUGAGGUAACGGCUCACCAAGGCAACGAUCGGUAGCCGGCCUGAGAGGGCGGACGGCCACACUGGGACUGAGACACGGCCCAGACUCCUACGGGAGGCAGCAGUGGGGAAUUGUUCGCAAUGGGCGCAAGCCUGACGACGCAACGCCGCGUGGAGGAUGAAGAUCUUCGGGUCGUAAACUCCUUUCGAUCGAGACGAACGGCUUCCGGGCUAAUCACCGGGAGAGUGACGGUACCGAGAGAAGAAGCCCCGGCUAACUCCGUGC
Molecule: ribosomal RNA, 500 nt
Filed under: uncultured bacterium
Lineage: Bacteria
Description: bacterial SSU rRNA
Rfam family: Bacterial small subunit ribosomal RNA
Source: RNAcentral